GAUGAACGCUGGCGGCGUGCCUAAUACAUGCAAGUCGAGCGAACAGACGAGGAGCUUGCUCCUCUGACGUUAGCGGCGGACGGGUGAGUAACACGUGGAUAACCUACCUAUAAGACUGGGAUAACUUCGGGAAACCGGAGCUAAUACCGGAUAAUAUAUUGAACCGCAUGGUUCAAUAGUGAAAGACGGUUUUGCUGUCACUUAUAGAUGGAUCCGCGCCGCAUUAGCUAGUUGGUAAGGUAACGGCCUACCAAGGCAACGAUGCGUAGCCGACCUGAGAGGGUGAUCGGCCACACUGGAACUGAGACACGGUCCAGACUCCUACGGGAGGCAGCAGUAGGGAAUCUUCCGCAAUGGGCGAAAGCUUGACGGAGCAACGCCGCGUGAGUGAUGAAGGUCUUCGGAUCGUAAAACUCUGUUAUUAGGGAAGAACAAAUGUGUAAGUAACUAUGCACGUCUUGACGGUACCUAAUCAGAAAGCCACGGCUAACUACGUG
This 497-nucleotide ribosomal RNA is filed under the name uncultured bacterium. RNAcentral describes it as "partial 16S ribosomal RNA". It matches the Rfam family "Bacterial small subunit ribosomal RNA", at positions 28 to 507 of the family's 1533-position model. The record is from RNAcentral.